Aegilops tauschii subsp. strangulata is the source of this 1494-nucleotide long non-coding RNA. RefSeq lists it as uncharacterized. Lineage: Eukaryota; Viridiplantae; Streptophyta; Magnoliopsida; Poales; Poaceae. The record is from RefSeq and is a predicted model, not a curated record.
GCCACGCAUCGUAUUUCUCACUUGUUUUUUUUUCUUUUUCACAGAACGUAUUUCUCACUUGUAGGUCAAAGUACGUGCUGUUUGUCCAUCCAUCAGAGCAAAAUAUGUACAUCUAAUAUUCCUGCCAUAGCAAAAAGUAGGAGAAGGCUAUUGUUUUCCCCAAAUCACGCCGACAACAAAAUCCCCUUUCUUUAUUGUACUGUUCACUCUACGCGGCUGUGAUUUGGGUAGGGUGGGCAGGGGAGAUCCCAGGAGGACGCGUCGUGCUGCUCGACAUCGUCAUGGCCGGCGCGGCCGGGGCGAUGGUGCUGGAGGUUGGUGGUGCGGAGGAGGCGGUGACUGACCUGACGAAGGGUGCACAGGUUCGCGGAUUUCCCAGCGAUUUGGUGCGUGCCGAUCUUCCAAGCCAUUCUGACCGAGGAGGGGACCGGGCGUUCGAGCAGCUGUUCUUGCUCCGGCCACCAGCGAGACCGGAUCUCGCCGUCGCUGAUAAGGAAAGGCGGAUGCCAGUCGCCUGGGAGGUCACGGGUGCUGGCAGAGAGCUUUGGCGUUGCGUAGAAUGGCCUCUCGUUCCUUGUCGCUUAGGUUGAUGAAGAGCGACAGAUUUCCCAUCCAAUGAGUGUUGAGAGAUCUCAUGGAGGAUGGAGUACCGGUUCAUGGAUUUACUGGACAAAAUUGUUCUACUGGGUCAAGCUGUUGGUGCUAGGGCAUCAAUGCCAAGGUGGCAUAGGACAGAAAAUAAUUGUUGACCAAGGCAAGCUAAUGGAGAAUGACUGGAUCCUGAGGCACAGUACAGAUGGUGGACUACUGCUAUGGUCUAUUAGAGGUGUGGGGGUAACAGAGGCAGAUUCAUAUGAGGAGAUAGCGAAAUAAAUAAAUAGCACCAAGAUGUGAGCAACAUGUUUGGCCGGCCAUUAUGUUGUUGCCCUCCUCAUUGUCGGUGUUGUUGGACUUCUACCAGAUUAACAAUGGAUAUUAUUUUACCGCGCCCUAGAUCCGACUUUUCAUCUUCAUGCCUUCCUAAUUGUUUGUACUGCUGGACUUUUACCACUCUGGGCGUCCUGGUUUUUUCGGCGUGUGUUUGGAUUGAGGCUUUGUUCUGUUGGGCGUCGCAGCGUCGGGAGUGCAUAUUGGAUGCUUCAGUACCUGCAAUCCAUCGUGGGUGCAUAUUGUACUUUAGUACCUUCAAUCCGCCGACGUGACGAACACGUACUGAAUGCUUGCUUCUAUCGUGCUGGCUGGCAAUGGCGGCGUGUGUGUGUUUAUGCUGCUUGGGGGCUGGUCGUCGCUGGCUGGCCAGCAAGUUUCGUAUGGACAUAUGAUACGUGUACGUGUUCUUGUCCAAUUGAAGUUGUGUGUCUGCUAGAAAUCAAUCACGGCAUGCAAAUCAAUUAGGCAAUGCAUGAAUACGUGUCUGUGUGUUUCUCUUGUAUAUGAGGCAUGCAGACUUGACCAAAGCCGGCCGACUGGGUAUGGUCGUGUGUUUUAUGUUCA